UGCCAAUGACGAUUAUAUAUUGCACGUGUUAUCAGAAACUAGGUGAUGAUAAUUAAAUUGUCACUACCUCUGAGGCA
Coffea eugenioides is the source of this 77-nucleotide small nucleolar RNA. RefSeq annotates it as small nucleolar RNA snoR122. The transcript has a single exon. The record is from RefSeq and is a predicted model, not a curated record. NCBI's taxonomy places the organism in Eukaryota, Viridiplantae, Streptophyta, Magnoliopsida, Gentianales, Rubiaceae.